AUAUAAUAAACCCUAAAAUCUCCAAAACACGAAGAAAAUCUACCCAUCCCCAAUUUUUUCGAUUUCCCCCAAUUCUUCAGCUCCAAAAACCCUAACUCCAUCCUUCAAUGGCGAAGAAACGAAGAGUCGAAGAUGAAGAAGAUACAGACCCAGAAAUGGAUUCAUCAUCGGAAGAAGUAGAAGAAAUAGAAGAAGAGGAGGACGAAGAAGAGGAAGAAACAGAUAAAUCAGUCGAACCAGAAGCUGAAGAACCAGCAGCAGCAGCAGAAGAAGAUUUAACAAAGAUUCUUGAAAUAUUCAGUAAAGAACAAUUAAUAGAUAUUAUUCGUUCAGCAUCAACAGAGAAUAAAAAACUCGUUGAAGAUAUUCAUAAAUUAGCAGAUCAAGAUCCAUCUCAUCGGAAAUUGUUUGUUCAUGGAUUAGGUUGGGAAACAACAUCAGAUAAACUCAGAGAGAUUUUCUCUACUUAUGGUGAGCUUGAAGAUUGUAAUGUUGUUGUUGAUAAAAAUACAGGUAAAUCUAAAGGGUAUGGUUUCAUAUUAUAUAAACAUAGAAAAUCUGCUUCAAAAGCUUUGCAAGAGCCACAGAAGAAGAUUGAGAAUCGGAUGACUGCUUGUCAGUUAGCUUCUUCUGGACCUGUUAAUAUUCCUUCUCAACAACAGCACCAUCAGCAGCCGCAGCAGCACCAAUUUCAACAGAUGAAUCAUCAUGUGAAGAAGAAUGGUAAUUCUUCUGCGGCGGGGAUGUCGCCAGAGAUGUUGCAGAGGAAAAUCUAUGUAGGUAAUGUAAACUCUGAGGUUUCUGGUGAGAAAUUACAUUCUUUUUUCUCAAAGUACGGUGAAAUUGAAGAAGGUCCAUUAGGGUUUGAUAAAAGCACUGGGAAACCUAAAGGGUAUGCUUUGUUUAUAUAUAAAACUCUUGAAGGUGCAAGAAAGGCUUUAGAAGAACCUAGCAAGAAUUUUGAAGGGCAUGUGUUGUUUUGUCAGAAAGCUACUGAUAAUAACAAGCAGAAAUCAGGUUCUGGUUCUGCACCUUUACCUACUGGGAGUUUGCCUAUGAAGAAUGAUGGGUUUAAUCAUGUUGGUAAUGCUGGAGUUGGUGGGUUUAAUCCUCCACAGCCUGGUGUUGGUCCUGGUUAUAAUCCUCAGAAUGGUGUUAUGGGUCAUCAUGGGCUUAUGAUGAAUCAGGGACUUAUGGGUGGUGUUCCGCCGUAUGGUCAAGGGAUGCAACCGAUUCAAGCUGCAUUAGCUGUACUUGCUGCUGCAGGGCAGAAUCCAGGUGCUUUUGGAGUGAUGAACCCUGCUUUAGCAGGUUUUAAUCCAAUGGCACCUAUGCAACCAGGAUUGGGAGCUUUUGGAAUGGGUAACCCAAUGUAUCAGAAUCCACAAGGUCAUCAACUAAUUGGACCCCCUGGCCAAGGUCCUGCUAAGAGACCCGCUUUAAGGCCACCAGGAGGAUAUGGAGCUCGUUGAGUUUGUCCCGAUGUCCUGGUACUCCAGGCUGCCAACUUUAUUCGGUUAUAUGCCGCAUGAUAUAGUCUGCUCCACUAUAUCCUCUCCUGUUGAAUGUGAAAAGCCAAAUUACGCUUCUCCGUGAGCAAGAAAGUACAAAUCAUUCUUUUCAGGGCCAUGAAAAGAACUAGGCUUUCGUAAGCCUAACAUGAGGAUGUCAGAAGUUCUUCUUAUUGGUUAACAUCAUCACCAUGAAUGGUGAAAUAAAAGAUAGUUUGCUGGUCUGGCUAGGUAUGCCUGAAACAUUUGGAUUGGAACUGCUUGAUGGUUAGUUUGUGUUCAACUGCUUGAGUAUGAGUAUGUUAAACAGUGCAUCGCAUUUCGAAAUUUUGGUUCCCUAUCUCGAGGGCUGCUUGAUGGUGUCAAGUUUGGUGACAAUGGUCUUGGUAUCAUUAAGUUGAGGAGAACCAAUGAUACCUGUCUCAGAUUUUCUGUUGCGUAUCGCCAAUGUUUUAACAUGCUAGGAGAGUCUAGGACCACAGGAUACAUUAUCCUUGCUUUUGUAUCGCCUACGUAAUAAUGGUGAAGUAUUGAUAGUUUGCUGGUCUUGCUAGGUUUGUCUGAAACAUAUGAAUUUGAACUUGUCCUCAACUUCUUGAGUAUGUUAAAUACUGCAUUACAUUUCAAAAUUUGGUUCUUGAUAAAUCCUCAUAGGGCUGCUUUAAUGACAAUGGUCCUGAUAAUUCACAGUACCUGUCUCAUUUUUGUUAAGCCGUCCUUUUAUAUUGUGCUAGGAGAGUCUAGGACUACGGGAUCAUUGCUAUAUUAUUAUGUUUCUAGAAACAAUCCUAGUUAUGGAGGCCCUCUGAUAAUUUUACCCUGAUAUUCAGAAGCAGAUAAACUAUGUUAUUUCCUGUAACAAAAGUAUGACGCAGAAAUUACAGAUGAUGGAAGGCUAACUGCUACUGAACAACAGAAAAGCAAUCUCGAGCUUCUUGUACCGAAGUUGGGUUAAGCUUGUUUCUUAUUAUUGCUAUUGCCAUUUUUGCUAUACUCAACUUUUCAUGUUAAUUUCCUACAAAUAUUGGAGACGGUGCAAAUUGAUAUGUAUUCCCAGGUCACUAAUUUCGGCUCUCUAAACUGGCAAUGUUGAAUUCAGUAUAAAUGACCUUACAAAUUUGUUCUUGUUA
This is an RNA transcript of Papaver somniferum (opium poppy), 2641 nucleotides long. It is a transcript of the gene named UBP1-associated protein 2A-like, with no coding region annotated. Lineage: Eukaryota; Viridiplantae; Streptophyta; Magnoliopsida; Ranunculales; Papaveraceae. The record is from RefSeq and is a predicted model, not a curated record. The transcript is spliced from 3 exons.